RNAcentral lists this ribosomal RNA (464 nucleotides) under uncultured bacterium. Its description in RNAcentral is "partial 16S ribosomal RNA". It matches the Rfam family "Bacterial small subunit ribosomal RNA", at positions 28 to 507 of the family's 1533-position model. The record is from RNAcentral.
GACGAACGCUGGCGGCGUGCUUAACACAUGCAAGUCGAACGGAAAGGCCCCUUUGGGGGUACUCGAGUGGCGAACGGGUGAGUAACACGUGAGUAACCCGCCCUUGACUUCGGGAUAACUUCAGGAAACUGGGGCUAAUACCGGAUAGGAAUCCUUGCUGCAUGGUGGGGGUUGGAAAGCUUCGGCGGUUUUGGAUGGACUCGCGGCUUAUCAGCUUGUUGGUGGGGUAGUGGCUUACCAAGGCUUUGACGGGUAGCCGGCCUGAGAGGGCGACCGGCCACAUUGGGACUGAGAUACGGCCCAGACUCCUACGGGAGGCAGCAGUGGGGAAUAUUGCACAAUGGGCGGAAGCCUGAUGCAGCAACGCCGCGUGCGGGAUGACGGCCUUCGGGUUGUAAACCGCUUUCAGCAGGGGCGAAGCUUUUGUGACGGUACCUGCAGAAGAAGCACCGGCUAACUACGUG